This 741-nucleotide ribosomal RNA is filed under the name Mycolicibacterium sp. RNAcentral's name for it is "bacterial SSU rRNA". It matches the Rfam family "Bacterial small subunit ribosomal RNA", at positions 56 to 816 of the family's 1533-position model. Lineage: Bacteria; Bacillati; Actinomycetota; Actinomycetes; Mycobacteriales; Mycobacteriaceae. The record is from RNAcentral.
UGCAGUCGACGGAAAGGCCCUUCGGGGUGCUCGAGUGGCGAACGGGUGAGUAACACGUGGGUGAUCUGCCCUGCACUUUGGGAUAAGCCUGGGAAACUGGGUCUAAUACCGGAUAGGACCACGGUCUGCAUGGAUUGUGGUGGAAAGCUUUUGCGGUGUGGGAUGGGCCCGCGGCCUAUCAGCUUGUUGGUGGGGUGAUGGCCUACCAAGGCGACGACGGGUAGCCGGCCUGAGAGGGUGUCCGGCCACACUGGGACUGAGAUACGGCCCAGACUCCUACGGGAGGCAGCAGUGGGGAAUAUUGCACAAUGGGCGCAAGCCUGAUGCAGCGACGCCGCGUGAGGGAUGACGGCCUUCGGGUUGUAAACCUCUUUCAAUAGGGACGAAGCGCGAGUGACGGUACCUAUAGAAGAAGCACCGGCCAACUACGUGCCAGCAGCCGCGGUAAUACGUAGGGUGCGAGCGUUGUCCGGAAUUACUGGGCGUAAAGAGCUCGUAGGUGGUUUGUCGCGUUGUUCGUGAAAACUCACAGCUUAACUGUGGGCGUGCGGGCGAUACGGGCAGACUGGAGUACUGCAGGGGAGACUGGAAUUCCUGGUGUAGCGGUGGAAUGCGCAGAUAUCAGGAGGAACACCGGUGGCGAAGGCGGGUCUCUGGGCAGUAACUGACGCUGAGGAGCGAAAGCGUGGGGAGCGAACAGGAUUAGAUACCCUGGUAGUCCACGCCGUAAACGGUGGGUAC